RNAcentral lists this long non-coding RNA (930 nucleotides) under Dromaius novaehollandiae (emu). RNAcentral describes it as "lncRNA (ENSDNVG00000003747.1)". The record is from RNAcentral. Lineage: Eukaryota; Metazoa; Chordata; Aves; Casuariiformes; Dromaiidae.
CGGCAGCGUCAUUAYCUUUUAGAUCUCUCAUGCUCUAGUUCCUCUGUAAAACAUCGGUGUGAAGUGUCAGCAGUCCUCUUAAUCCAUUCUGUUUAUGAUUAAUAAAAGAUAGGGUAUAACACUUUAGCRAGCAACACUUUAGCACCAGUCGUUACUGUGGGAAACUCUUAGCUGAGUUAUUUCUGCGAACACUUAUCUUUCUUUAAAACACAGGUUUUAUGCCUUGUUCCUAUUYUCAAGUGCUGGUUUUCAUAAAAGUCUUUGCAGGGCUAAACAAAUGCUAGUUUAAACUCUAACUUCUGUAUUUAUUCAGAACUAAAGAUUUGUGGCAAGCCUAGCAKUUUUAGUAGCAAGUAUACAUCUUUCCUUAAAAUCAACAGAUUCCACUUGGCUGCUGUAUGAGAACUGAGCUGGCCCGAGCUGAGCUGGGAUUGGGAGUGGCUUGCUUGGACCUUGGCUGCAUCAUCCAGAGAUGGAAAUCUCCAGUGUGAAACAGCUGAUGUCUUGAAGUGUCUGGUGAAUGAAACACGAAGGCUUCUGACGCAGUUACGGUGUUACACCAGUUGUUUCRUCUGUCUACUUCCAGCUCUGCCUACGUGAAGGAGGCCUUCUUGGUAUCUGGAAGCGACCGUCUACUCAUCUGCCCCUGCUCCGUGCAUCUCGCAGACCUGGAGAAGGGAAGGUCAGGACGCUUUGUUGGUAUCUGCCUGAAGAUCAUGUUUUUCUCCAGUGUAUCUGUGGGAAUGUUCAGCAUGAUCGCGAACGGAGGAGGCUGUCUCUCAGCAAGGGUAUCCUCCUUGAGACGCUUCAUCUAGGAUUUUAAGCAGCAUGGUGCAGCACCCUGGUUUGAGGAAAAUAUCUGCUUUAAUUAUUAGGUAGGUAGUAAUAUUUCGGAAUAAAACAAACUUCAAAUUUAACUACRUAAGUAAC